GACGAACGCUGGCGGCGUGCUUAACACAUGCAAGUCGAACGGAAAGGCCGUGCUUUUGUGGGUUGCUCGAUUGGCGAACGGGUGAGUAACACGUGAGUAACCUGCCCUUGUCUUUGGGAUAACUUCAGGAAACUGGGGCUAAUACCGGAUAGGAGCUCCUGUUGCAUGGUGGGGGUUGGAAAGUUUCGGCGGUUGGGGAUGGACUAGCGGCUUAGCAGCUUGAUGGUGAGGUGGUGGCUUACCAAGGCUUUGAAGGGUAGCCGGCCCGAGAACGUGACCAGCCACAAUAGGACUGAGAUACGGCCCAGACUCCUAACGGGGGCACCAGUGGGAAAUCUUGCACAAUGGGCCGACGCCUGAUGCGGCAACGCCGCGUGCGUGAGGACGUCCUUCGGGUUAAAAACCGCUGUCGCCUGUGACGAAGCGUUAGUGACGGUAAUGAGUAAAGAAGCACCGGCUAACUACGUG
RNAcentral lists this ribosomal RNA (468 nucleotides) under uncultured bacterium. RNAcentral describes it as "partial 16S ribosomal RNA". It matches the Rfam family "Bacterial small subunit ribosomal RNA", at positions 28 to 507 of the family's 1533-position model. The record is from RNAcentral.